GACGAACGCUGGCGGCGUGCUUAACACAUGCAAGUCGAACGAAGAGCGACGGAAGCUUGCUUCUAUCACUCUUAGUGGCGAACGGGUGAGUAACGCGUAAUCAACCUGCCCUUCAGAGGGGGACAACAGUUGGAAACGACUGCUAAUACCGCAUACGAUCUAACCUCGGCAUCGAGGAUAGAUGAAAGGUGGCCUCUACAUGUAAGCAUUCACUGAAGGAGGGGAUUGCGUCUGAUGAGCUAGUCGGCGGGGUAACGGCCCACCAAGGCGAGGAUCAGUAGCCGGUAGGAGAGGAAGGGCAGCCGGAGUGAGAGGGAGACAGGGCCCAGAGUGCUAGGGGAGGGAGCAGGAGGGAAUCGGGCGGAAGGGGGGGAGGACUGGGGGAGAAGGGCGGCGGGAGGGAGGAGGGACUUCGGGUGGGGGAGCUCGGUUGAUCGGGAGGAAAGGCCUUCUUGCGAAGAGGGAGAAGGAGUGACGGUAGCGGAAGAGGAAGCCACGGCUAACUACGUG
This 510-nucleotide ribosomal RNA is filed under the name uncultured bacterium. RNAcentral describes it as "partial 16S ribosomal RNA". It matches the Rfam family "Bacterial small subunit ribosomal RNA", at positions 28 to 507 of the family's 1533-position model. The record is from RNAcentral.